RNAcentral lists this long non-coding RNA (1156 nucleotides) under Mustela putorius furo (domestic ferret). RNAcentral describes it as "lncRNA (ENSMPUG00000028136.1)". The record is from RNAcentral. Lineage: Eukaryota; Metazoa; Chordata; Mammalia; Carnivora; Mustelidae.
AUGUGGUUUCUCCACCUGCAAAGGAAGGACUCCUGUCAUCACGUAACACCGAAGAACCACUUCGCUAAGGAUGUGAUGAUACCAUGGUCAAUGGGCCUCAGUGAGGUGCCACCAAGGGACAGCGCCCCAGGACUGGCUAGAUCAUUAAGCCAUCGUGACUGCUCAGAAAAUCAACAAGAUCUGAACUGUCAUCUAGUGCUCAGACUUUUACUGGAGCAGGUAAGCUCUGCACAUGUGGACAAAGUGGCCUUCGCCCCAAAUCGGACUGCCGCCUGCGCCCGCAGCGUCCCCAUGCUGCCGUUCUCUCUGUACCGCUGGCCUCAGGGGCCACUAGUUCUCUUCUCGGCUGAGCCCAAGCCCAUCCCAAGGACCUUCAAAGAGAAGAAAAGGUAGAGUGGAAAACUAAGUAUCUACAGGUCCCUAUUCAGCUCCCAGUUCUAUUAGCUCAUAUUUUAAAAAUGAUUUCCCAAACAAUUUGAAUAGCAAAAUAAAUAGUAAUAGAUAAUAAUCCACAGAGUUAAAUAAAUACCCAUGAGUCAAAAAAAAAAGAUUUCCUGAAAACAAUUGCUGAAGAAUGAAAGAGGAUGGUGUUCCUAAUGGCUCUCUGGGUCUUUUUUUUUUCUUAAGGUUUUUCUGUCGCCUUUCGGGUGGUACUACAUUCUGGUUUGACGUCAGCCAGGUUCAGGCAUGCCAUGGACAACAGGUAAGCAGGGGACACUCUCCUAUUGAAGCCUCAAUUUCCUGCUCUGAAAAAUACCUGUGUCUGUAUUGGUUUAAGUUGAAUUAACCUAGGUUUCUAAAACAAUAUGGAGUACCGUGGAGGAAAGAAAACAGAAUGGAUAAUACUUAGCUGAAAAAUGACAUCUGCGCAAAUAUAAAAGGACAACGUGCUAGCAGGUGUAUGGCAAGUCAAAGAAGAAGGAUUUUGAAAACAGGAAAACAGGAACAUGAACUACCAGAGAGAAGAAGGAAGAAAAUUCUAAAUGAAGAAUACGCAUGAGCAAAAGUAGAGGGACAGGGGUGCCUGGGUGGCUCAGUGGGUUAAGCCUCUGCCUUCAGCUCAGGUCAUGAUCUCAGGGUCCUGGGAUUGAGCCCUGCAUCUCUGUUCAGUAGGGAGCCUGCUUUCCCCACUCUUUCUCUGCCUGCCUCUCUGUCU